UACGUAGGGGGCAAGCGUUGUCUGGAUUUAUUGGGCGUAAAGAGCGUGUAGGCGGCCUGAAAGGUCAGCUGUGAAAACUCGGGGCUCAACCCCGAGACGUCGGUUGAAACCAUCUGGCUAGAGUCCGGAAGAGGAGUGUGGAAUUCCCGGUGUAGCGGUGAAAUGCGCAGAUAUCAGGAGGAACACCAAUGGCGAAGGCAGCUCGCUGGGACGGUACUGACGCUGAGACGCGAAAGCGUGGGGAGCAAACAGG
Molecule: ribosomal RNA, 253 nt
Filed under: uncultured bacterium
Lineage: Bacteria
Description: partial 16S ribosomal RNA
Rfam family: Bacterial small subunit ribosomal RNA
Source: RNAcentral